GAUGAACGCUAGCUACAGGCUUAACACAUGCAAGUCGAGGGGCAGCAUGAACUUAGCUUGCUAAGUUUGAUGGCGACCGGCGCACGGGUGAGUAACACGUAUCCAACCUGCCGAUGACUCGGGGAUAGCCUUUCGAAAGAAAGAUUAAUACCGGAUGAUGUCGUAAGACCAAAGAUUUAUCGCCCAGGGAUGAGCCCGCGUAAGAUUAGGUAGUUGGUGAGGUAAAGGCUCACCAAGCCGACGAUCUUUAGCUGGUCUGAGAGGAUGAUCAGCCACACUGGGACUGAGACACGGCCCAG
RNAcentral lists this ribosomal RNA (299 nucleotides) under uncultured bacterium. RNAcentral describes it as "partial 16S ribosomal RNA". It matches the Rfam family "Bacterial small subunit ribosomal RNA", at positions 28 to 334 of the family's 1533-position model. The record is from RNAcentral.